Vicia faba (fava bean) is the source of this 324-nucleotide non-coding RNA. The record is from the annotation of a GenBank genome assembly. NCBI's taxonomy places the organism in Eukaryota, Viridiplantae, Streptophyta, Magnoliopsida, Fabales, Fabaceae.
AUGAGAAUCACUAAACUAGCCAAACAAGUUUUGCUCCUUUUGGCUUUUACCCUUGCUACUCAAGUAAUACAAGGUAUUAGAACACAAGAUUUGGUGUCUCUGAAGUCCUCUCAAACCUUAACAGAACAAAGUGUAAAGGGUAGCAAUGUGGCAAUGAGAACGAGGAAUUCUAGGAGAUUGAUGAUUGGAUCCAUAACACCAACCUGCACUUACAAUGAAUGUAGAGGAUGUAAGAACAAGUGUAUGGCUGAGCAGGUACCUGUAGUGGGAAAUGAUCCAGUGAAUAGCCCAUAUCACUACAGAUGUGUUUGUCAUAGAGGAUAG